RNAcentral lists this ribosomal RNA (154 nucleotides) under Penicillium roqueforti. RNAcentral describes it as "partial 28S ribosomal RNA". It matches the Rfam family "Eukaryotic large subunit ribosomal RNA", at positions 1 to 151 of the family's 3401-position model. Lineage: Eukaryota; Fungi; Ascomycota; Eurotiomycetes; Eurotiales; Aspergillaceae. The record is from RNAcentral.
GGUUGACCUCGGAUCAGGUAGGGAUACCCGCUGAACUUAAGCAUAUCAAUAAGCGGAGGAAAAGAAACCAACAGGGAUUGCCCCAGUAACGGCGAGUGAAGCGGCAAGAGCUCAAAUUUGAAAGCUGGCUCCUUCGGGGUCCGCAUUGUAAUUU